This 301-nucleotide long non-coding RNA is filed under the name Homo sapiens (human). RNAcentral describes it as "long non-coding RNA NONHSAT151328". The stretch from base 199 to 272 matches the Rfam family "Small nucleolar RNA SNORD99". The record is from RNAcentral. Lineage: Eukaryota; Metazoa; Chordata; Mammalia; Primates; Hominidae.
AGAACAUGAUUUACCCACCCUAAAAUGCAUUGAAGGCAUCAGAGGGCACCGUGGGCCACAAGGCCUGGUAGCCACAAAUGUUCAGUGGUGGCUGGAGCUCAUGAUGCAUUCUUUGGUGGGACGUCUCUCAGCAUUAGGGAGAGUUGAGAGUGGGGUAGAAACAAGGGGUUCCAUGUAGCACACACUGUAUUUAGAAUGACUGGUCCAGGAUGAAACCUAAUUUGAGUGGACAUCCAUGGAUGAGAAAUGCGGAUAUGGGACUGAGACCAGCUCCUAGGAAAAUGUCUGGGUGGGGGAAAUC